Molecule: long non-coding RNA, 106 nt
Organism: Seriola dumerili (greater amberjack)
Lineage: Eukaryota; Metazoa; Chordata; Actinopteri; Carangiformes; Carangidae
Exons: 3
Source: RefSeq, a predicted model, not a curated record
AGGCCCUCGGCCUGCUGGGAAAACGCACGUUUGAUAAGCCUCCUCCAGGCAGGUCCACAGGGAUCAUCUCCUUCAUCGGGCCGACGUUCGGCUACAUCGAGAGAGA